UCACCUUUAGAAUACUACUCCGGAUAUC
Molecule: small RNA, 28 nt
Filed under: Bombyx mori (domestic silkworm)
Lineage: Eukaryota; Metazoa; Arthropoda; Insecta; Lepidoptera; Bombycidae
Description: ovarian small RNA-6877
Source: RNAcentral